GUGAGGAAUAUUGGACAAUGGGCGCAAGCCUGAUCCAGCCAUGCCGCGUGCAGGAAGACGCACCUAUGGUGUGUAAACUGCUUUUGUACGGGAAGAAACACUCCCUCGUGAGGGAGCUUGACGGUACCGUAAGAAUAAGGAUCGGCUAACUCCGUGCCAGCAGCCGCGGUAAUACGGAGGAUCCAAGCGUUAUCCGGAAUCAUUGGGUUUAAAGGGUCCGUAGGCGGUUUAAUAAGUCAGUGGUGAACGCCCAUCGCUCAACGAUGGAACGGCCAUUGAUACUGUUAGACUUGAAUUACAAGGAAGUCACUAGAAUAUGUAGUGUAGCGGUGAAAUGCUUAGAUAUUACAUGGAAUACCAAUUGCGAAGGCAGGUUACUACUUGUGGAUUGACGCUGAUGGACGAAAGCGUGGGGAGCGAACAGGAUUAGAAACCCUGGUAGUCC
This 445-nucleotide ribosomal RNA is filed under the name uncultured bacterium. RNAcentral's name for it is "partial 16S ribosomal RNA". It matches the Rfam family "Bacterial small subunit ribosomal RNA", at positions 354 to 796 of the family's 1533-position model. The record is from RNAcentral.